This is a non-coding RNA of Manis javanica (Malayan pangolin), 2086 nucleotides long. NCBI's taxonomy places the organism in Eukaryota, Metazoa, Chordata, Mammalia, Pholidota, Manidae. The record is from RefSeq and is a predicted model, not a curated record.
CUUCCCUCUAUCUCUGGAUUAGCCAACAGACAGCAAUCUUUUGGAUCAUGACAAUAAAUUACCUUUUUAUUCACUUUCCCCAAGCCUUCCAAAGGAGGAGAUGGAGGAGGGGAAGGGAGAGAGGGGGUGAGUCUGGAGGAGGAGGGGGAGUCGCAAGAACACUCAGACAUCUCACAGGCAAACAGUGCUCACCCCCACUACACCUCACCGUAGGCUUCUCUUGCCAGCACCACCACCAGCCCCAUUUGACAGAUGGAGGACAGGAGGCUCCGAGAGUUAAAAAUGGCUUGCUCUGGGGUCACCCAGCCAGAGGGUGGGGAAGGCGACUCCACUCAGGCCUUCUGACUCCAAGUCCAGUGCUAUUUCGAGGUGACACACAGGACCUGGAGUCAGGAGCCCUGGGUAGCUCUGUCACCCGCUGGCUGCGUGGUCCUGCCCAAGCCGCUCACCCCUCGCAGUCUCUAUCCCCAGCUGUAAAAUGAGGAGGCACGCGAUGGCCCGCCCAGGUCCUCUUCCGGCCGGGCUCUCUGAGCCUUCUAGGGGCGUCUGCAAAGCUCCCCCUAUCAAUUACAUUUCCCAAGUUGGGCCGGCAAAGAUCACCAGAAAGAGCCUCAGACUGUCACGUGGUUAAAUAAAAAAAGCAAACGUCCCAGAUUAACUUUCACUGCACUGCUCCAGCUGACACCUGAUUACCCAAUUUUCUAGUCUCUUUGGGUGAAAUAUUCUUGCUGGGUAGGCCCGCCGGGCGGCUAAAUGGGCAAAUAAUUAUUGGAGAGUUUUGAAGAUGGAGUUAAAAUCUGGGGUCGCUUUCCGAAGGGAUAGUUCUUGGGGCAAUUCGGCCCCGCCCGCAUCCGAAGCGCCGAGCCCCAGGCUGGAGGUGGGACCGGCCUUCAGAACAAACACGGGCUCCGAGCUGGGGACGGCGCCCGGUGACCGCCGCGGGAGCUCCACUGCAGUUUCGUAAGAGGUACCAAAGCAGCCCCUGCGAGUCGCGCCCGGUUCCGCACGGCGGCCCCUCUCCGCGCCCAGGGGUGCGCCCGCAUCCGGGGUCUCAUUCUUGGCUCCGCUGCAUCCCCAUCCUCCCGGCUACCCGCAGCUGGGCGCCCGGAGAAAAAGCCUUAAGUAUGGGGCCAAACUUUAUUCUUGCAACAGGCUUGGGAUAGGAAAAACCAGAGAAGGGGGUGGGGGGCGCGCACGACUAGCGCAGGCAUUUUCGCCGGCUGCCUGCCCCGGCAGUACUCCUAGUUCCCGUCUCCGAGUCACCAGUUUUCUCUCUCUCCCCACUCCACCGCAACAGAGCACCCACUCCUGUCACGCGCGGGUCGCCGGAGGGGCUCCCAGGGAGCAGCCAGAGCCCGGGACGCCGCCUCGCCUUCCCUUCCCCCAGCAUCGCCGAGCGUGCACCGGGGCCGCACGCCGCGGGGGGACCCAGGGGCCCCCAAACAGUCCUACCGCCGUCAUCCUGCCCACCUUUCCCCCCCGGGGGGGUCCAGGAAGGUGUUAUCCCCGCCAGCACGUCCACGUGCCCCGCAGACCCCUAUGUCCAUCCACAGCAGGCAACUGGCAGGAAACUCUGCUCUGCGGGCGCCAGUGAUGAGCCGCGGGGGGCCAGAAGCAGCACGCGGGGUACCGGAGACUGGAGCACUAGGGGACUCUGGGGUAGGGGGCAGGCGCCUGUGCCGGGGCCCCAAGUCCACGUGAAAGUACGGCAGCAAGUGCCGGGAGUCUGAGGGCGCGCCUCCAGCACCCAGAGCCAGCCUGAGGGUCCCCUCGCAGCUUGGCGCCGCUCCACCUCCCCAAGAAAGCGCGAUACACACCAGCUCCGUCGGCGGGGGAGCGGAUUCCAAGAGACCAAAGCGAGACCCUCUCCAGCGGCAGAGGCGUCCCCAACGUUCCGGCAUGCUCUGGGGGGGCCUAUAGCUCCCUGCCUCCGUGACGGAGCGCAUCGCAGGGCGCAUGGAAGAGGUACUCUGCAGCCCCCAAUGCGCCCACUGCUGCCUCCCGGCCUCCGCGGCUGAGGCAGCAACCCCUGCAGCUCAGCACCUCUGGCCCCGGGCCCGCCGCCCCUGCUAGCCGUACCUGCGUG